Molecule: ribosomal RNA, 609 nt
Filed under: Streptococcus pneumoniae
Lineage: Bacteria; Bacillati; Bacillota; Bacilli; Lactobacillales; Streptococcaceae
Description: partial 23S ribosomal RNA
Rfam family: Bacterial large subunit ribosomal RNA
Source: RNAcentral
GGUUAAGUUAAUAAGGGCGCACGGUGGAUGCCUUGGCACUAGGAGCCGAAGAAGGACGGCACUAACACCGAUAUGCCUCGGGGAGCUGUAAGUGAGCUGUGAUCCGGGGAUUUCCGAAUGGGGAAACCCACUGUUCGUAAUGGAGCAGUAUCCAUGUGUGAAUACAUAGCACAUGAGAAGGCAGACUCAGGGAACUGAAACAUCUAAGUACCUGAAGGAAGAGAAAGCAAAUGCGAUUCCCCAAGUAGCGGCGAGCGAAACGGGAUCAGCCCAAACCAGAAGGCUUGCCUUCUGGGGUUGUAGGACACUCUAUACGGAGUUACAAAGGAACGGAUUAAGCGAAGCGACCUGGAACGGUCCGCAAGAUAGGGUAAUAGCCCCGUAGCUGAAAGUUCGUUCCCUCCAGAGUGGAUCCUGAGUACGGCGGAACACGAGAAAUUCCGUCGGAAUCCGGGAGGACCAUCUCCCAAGGCUAAAUACUCCCUAGUGACCGAUAGUGAACCAGUACCGUGAGGGAAAGGUGAAAAGCACCCCGGAAGGGGAGUGAAAUAGAUCCUGAAACCGUGUGCCUACAAGUAGUUAGAGCCCGUUAAUGGGUGAUAGCGUGCC